UACGUAGGGGGCAAGCGUUGUCCGGAAUUAUUGGGCGUAAAGCGCGCGCAGGCGGUUCUUUAAGUCUGGUGUCUAAGUGCGGGGCUCAACCCCGUGAUGCACUGGAAACUGGGGAACUUGAGUGCAGAAGAGGAGAGCGGAAUUCCACGUGUAGCGGUGAAAUGUGUAGAGAUGUGGAGGAACACCAGUGGCGAAGGCGGCUCUCUGGACUGUGACUGACGCUGAGGCGCGAAAGCGUGGGGAGCAAACAGG
RNAcentral lists this ribosomal RNA (252 nucleotides) under uncultured bacterium. RNAcentral's name for it is "partial 16S ribosomal RNA". It matches the Rfam family "Bacterial small subunit ribosomal RNA", at positions 524 to 776 of the family's 1533-position model. The record is from RNAcentral.